CCCGCCGUUACGGGUUGUUUAGGUUUUGUUAUGCAAGAGCCUGAGUGAGGGCUGCUUUGUCUAAACGACUGCAUUUGCUAUUUUCAGGUGACCGCCCCAGACGAUUUGUCAUGAUAUGUGACGCAUGUUGAACGGCAUCAGAGCUGUCCUGAUCGGGGCGCAGUGAAGUACGGUUUGCUGAACAGUGAUUGCCACUUGGACCGAUACUGAAGCCGAAAUAUUAUUGCCUGCUAUACUGACGGUGCAGUUGGCUGUAUCACCAUACUGAGUCACUGAUAUUUGUACUAAAGUCGCCUAUCGUCCCGGACGAAUUUUCUACGGUCAUCACGGUCCACACUGAUCGCUGCAAGGUGUCACUACUGAAUGAUCCCAAUACAUACUGACCGACUAA
RNAcentral lists this long non-coding RNA (391 nucleotides) under Amphibalanus amphitrite. RNAcentral describes it as "uncharacterized LOC122368508". Lineage: Eukaryota; Metazoa; Arthropoda; Thecostraca; Balanomorpha; Balanidae. The record is from RNAcentral.